CCAAACCAACAAUAACAAAAACUACUACAUCACUAGCAAUCACAAGAUGCAUUAAACCAGUGUUCUCCACAACUCCACGGUUUAAGCAACAAACAUAAAUAACAGAACAAGUUAUAUAACCUGUCACACAUAGAAGCAACCAACAGAAAAGUUGAUGACAAGUUUUAGGCAGAGGUUUUGUUAGAGAAUUGACAAGUUGAUCGGUGGUGCUAAGUGCUAACACAUUGAACUUUGAGUUCUCCUUGUUAUGCUAGAUCUCAAACACAGUUCUUUAGCCAUAAAAGUUCAUUGUCCAUCACACAUAAAAUUUGACUCUAAAUAUUUUUUAUUUUGACCAAUAAUUAUUAUAACUAGAAUUUAAACUCGAAUUCUUCUGAAUAAUUUGUAUUUAAUUUGAGUCCUUUAAUCAUUUGAAUUUAAUUUCAUCGAUCAUUAAUAUGUUCAAUACAAUGUAGUACAUCAAUCAUCAACUUUCAACUCAAUAUAAUUAUUUCAUAAUGUAUCGUUUCUUUGCUUCCAUAUGCUCCAAAAAUUCGUAAUAAACUUAGAUAUUUCAGACUCGAAAAGCUGUCUUAAAAUCUUAAAAAAUAGUAUUUGAAACUCAAGUUGUAUGCAAGGAGACAAC
Molecule: long non-coding RNA, 625 nt
Filed under: Cicer arietinum (chickpea)
Lineage: Eukaryota; Viridiplantae; Streptophyta; Magnoliopsida; Fabales; Fabaceae
Description: long non-coding RNA (CARI_LNC000931)
Source: RNAcentral